Coffea eugenioides is the source of this 3327-nucleotide RNA transcript. RefSeq lists it as uncharacterized. NCBI's taxonomy places the organism in Eukaryota, Viridiplantae, Streptophyta, Magnoliopsida, Gentianales, Rubiaceae. The record is from RefSeq and is a predicted model, not a curated record. The transcript is spliced from 3 exons.
UCUUUUUUUGGGGGUUUGUGGGGGUAUUUGAGAGUUCUUCCUGGCCUUUGAGGGGUUUUGACCGAAAGUUUCAGUUCUUGGGGGUCUUUUUCCAUUUCAAUUUGGUGGGAAAUCCCUCCAAGUUCAACAACCUGCAAAAAAACCUACAAUUUGCCGAUUCACGUGCUCAUAUCCCCUGGGUGUUGAUUGUCAAAACCUCCUCUUUCAGCGUGGGAUCGGAUAUCAAUUAUUUCAAACAAAUGAUCCUUUUUUCUUGAGAAGCUUGUUGGUUUUGUGUUUUUUGACUGCCACUCAUGGCACACCGAGUAUAGAAGCAGCCUGCAUAUUUGGAAACAUAUUGUUGAAUCAUGGAGUGCAAUAAAGACGAGGCCCUUCGAGCGAAAACCAUUGCUGAGGGGAAGCUAGAGAACAAGGACUUCACUGGUGCUAAGAAAUUUGCUUUGAAAGCUCAAAGUCUAUACCCUGGACUUGAUGGUCUUUCCCAAAUGUUGACAACCAUUGAUGUUUAUAUCUCUGCUGAAAACAAGAUUAGCGGAGAAGUUGAUUGGUAUGGUGUACUUGGAGUAAAUCCCUCUGCUGAUGAUGAAACAGUAAGGAAGCAGUAUAGGAAAUUGGCUCUCCUGCUUCACCCUGAUAAAAAUAGAUCUGUUGGUGCCGAUGGUGCCUUUAAACUUCUUUGUGAGGCCUGGAGCUUGUUAUCUGACAAGUCUAAGAGGUUAGCAUACAACAUGAGGAGGUCUCCAAAAGGAUUUCAGCAAAAAGUUCCAACUCAGACUAGUGGUCCAUCUGAACCUCCACGAUCAAAUGGUUACCACAAUCACUCAGGCAGGACAACUUCAGCUCCCAAGACACAGAACACUAGGAGAACUGAUACUUUUUGGACUAUUUGUCAUCGGUGCAAGAUGCAUUAUGAAUAUCUUAAACAAUAUCUCAACCACACUCUUCUUUGUCCAAACUGUCAUGAGGCUUUUUAUGCAUCAGAGACUGCUCCACCCUUCAAUUAUUCCAAGUCGUCGAACUUGGCUUCAAGGCAUCGGCAUCAAAAUUCAAGUAAUCAUGCACCUACUAGUAAUUUAUUUGAUCCAAAAAGAAAUGCUACUGCUUCUGCUAAGGAUUCAGGACCUGGACCAGCAGGGUUUCAUUCAUCGACUUAUACAGGUAACUUCCCCCAGGAUAGAUUUUCUAGGACUGGUAGUGUUGGCAGCACAGAUCCUUCAAUUGCAGCAAAGGCAGCCAAUGUCAUUCAGCAGGCACAGGAGAGAAUGAAGAGAGAGCGUGAUGCAUCACAGGCUGCUGCUGCAGGGUGGGACGGAAAUUCCAGCUACAAUUCUGCUUUUGAUGGAGAGAGGGUUUACAAAAAGACACGACUAGAUGAUGAUGGUUAUUGUUAUGGAGCAAACACGGCAUAUCACCGAACCACAGUAAAUGGUGGUUCCAGUUUUGCUGGUACAUCAGCACCAAGAAAAGCUGGAUUUGAACAUGAUAAGCUUCAUGGUUUUUCUUUUGCUUACAGUAAGCCCAACUGCAUGAGAGAACUGACUCCAGUUGAAAACAGGAACAUGCUAAUGGCAAAGGCACGCAAGGAGAUAUUAAAGAAACUAACUGAAUGGAGAUCACAGAAUGCAAGCAAAGCUGUCCAGACAGAGAAAAUGAAGGCGACAGAUACAAAGAAAGAAAAAGAAAGAAACUCCAGGAAUGAUCAUGGUCGUGAUCUAAAUGGGUCUGGUGAGUCUUCUGCUACCCGACUGGCUGACCAUGCAGAGAAGAGUGCUGGUACCCCCACUGCUGGUGACGUUGAUGAAGAACAUGUUGUGGCAGAAGCAAUGAAUGUCCCAGAUCCUGAUUUUCAUGAUUUUGAUCAGGACAGGGCAGAGAGUUCCUUUGGAGAAAAUGAGGUUUGGGCUGCAUAUGAUGACGAUGAUGGCAUGCCUCGUUUCUAUGCUAUGGUUAAUAAGGUGAUAUCAAGGAAUCCAUUUAAGCUGAGAAUUAGCUGGCUUAACUCUAAAACCAGUAACGAAUUUGGUAAAAUGGACUGGAUUGGUUCUGGUUUCUAUAAAACAUGUGGGGAGUUCAGACUUGGUAGAUAUGAAAUCAACAAGUCCAUCAAUUCAUUUUCCCACAAGGUUAAGUGGUCAAAAGUACGUGGCGUUGUUCACAUAUUUCCCAAAAAGGGAGAAGUUUGGGCACUGUAUAAAAAUUGGUCCCCUGAUUGGAACGAGGAUACACCUGAGGAGUUGAUACACAAGUAUGACAUGAUGGUAGUGCUUGUUGACUACGAUGAGGAACGAGGUGUGUCUGUUGCCCCUCUAGUCAAGGUUGCUGGUUUCAAGACGGUAUUUCUUCCAAAUUUGGAGCCAGAAAAGGUAAUGAAAAUACCUAAAGAGGAGAUGUUUCGGUUCUCUCAUCAGGUCCCAAAUUACCAGCUUACAGGUAAAGAAGCUCAAAACGCCCCUGAGGGUUGCCUGGAGCUGGACCCUGCGGCUACCCCAUUGGAUCUUCUUCAGGUUAUAACUGAUGACUCUGAGGUUCAGAAACAGGUCAUGCAGAAUGUUCCAGGCACUAGGGCAGAUGAAAUUGCUGACAGGGCUUCUGAAGCUGAAAAAGAAGAGAAGGUAGAGAUUGGGGAAGCUGUGAAGAAAGAAGAGUAAGAAGAAAGGAGCCGACCAGAGCAACAAAGAUUGUCCCAGAUUUUGUUUAAGGGCUAUGCAGCAUGUGGGGAUUGCUGCAAUUAUGUCCAGUCUGGUUAUAAAUGAUAAUUAGACCAUAGCAAUGGGAUUGACGUUUUGUGUAGGUCGCUGAAGCAGCAUACUACUAAAUAUUGAUGCUCACGAUGCGAGGAGAACGAAAUACAAAUUUAUUCUACCUGCGUUAGAAUUUCUGAGAGCCGGGACUCACGGGGAUUAUCCUUCCCAUCGUCAAGUUGAGUCUAACACCAUUUUUUUGACAGAAAAGUGAAUUCACUCAACCAGUGAUAUUGAGUUCCCAUCAGGUCAUAGGGUAAUUACUCACUGUAGCAUAUGCCUUUUGCAGAUGUGUCUAUACUUUUUGUUUUGUUUUUUUUCCUUUUGUAAUUCGUUACUGGAUCUAUCCUUAGAAAAUUCAGAAGAUUUUACUUCCCGACUACUACAAGAACUGGGACCAAGAUUCGUUCUUCUGCUGUUUAAACCCUUUUCUCCUACUAGGGUGCAGGUUCCGUCUGCUUCGUUCGUUCACCACCUGUGCACUUUUCUACCUUGCUCAGCAAAGACGCAUACGUUGUAAGAAUUCAUCCAUUCCCAGCACAUAUUUCAUACUUGAGAAUGCUCUUUUGCUCUUUCUGCAUUGAAA